GAUGAACGCUGGCGGCGUGCCUAAUACAUGCAAGUCGAGCGAACGGACGAGAAGCUUGCUUUUCUGAUGUUAGCGGCGGACGGGUGAGUAACACGUGGAUAACCUACCUAUACGACUGGGAUAACUUCGGGAAACCGGAGCUAAUACCGGAUAAUAUUUUGAACCUCAUGGUUCAUAAGUGAAAGACGGUCUUUCUGUCACUUAUAGAUUGAUCCGCGCUGCAUUCGCUAGUUGGUAAGGUAAAGGCUUACCAAGGCAGCGAUGGAUAGCCGACCUGAAAGCGUGGACGGACAGCCGGGCUGUGAGGCAGGGCCCAGACUCCGACGGGAGGCAGCAGUAGGGAAUCCUCCGCGAUGGGCGAAUGCCUGACGUAGCAACGCCGCGUGAGUGAUGAAGGUCUUCUGAUCGUAAAACUCUGUUAUCAGGGAAGAACAUAUGUGUAAGUAACUGUGCUCAUCUUGACGGUACCUAAUCAGAAAGCCACGGCUAACUACGUG
This 497-nucleotide ribosomal RNA is filed under the name uncultured bacterium. RNAcentral describes it as "partial 16S ribosomal RNA". It matches the Rfam family "Bacterial small subunit ribosomal RNA", at positions 28 to 507 of the family's 1533-position model. The record is from RNAcentral.